This 69-nucleotide transfer RNA is filed under the name Marmota marmota marmota (Alpine marmot). It matches the Rfam family "tRNA". From Rfam's summary of the family: Transfer RNA (tRNA) molecules are approximately 80 nucleotides in length. Their secondary structure includes four short double-helical elements and three loops (D, anti-codon, and T loops). The record is from Rfam by way of RNAcentral. RNAcentral also lists the same sequence under 1 other name. Lineage: Eukaryota; Metazoa; Chordata; Mammalia; Rodentia; Sciuridae.
GGGGUUGUAGCUCAGUGGUAGAGCACUUGCCUUGCAUGCACAAGGCCCUGGGUUCGAUCCUCAGCACCA